GUGGCGGAUGGGCAUGCGGCGCAUUAGCUAGUCGGCGGGGUAACGGCCCACCGAGGCGACGAUGCGUAGGGGUUCUGAGAGGAAGGUCCCCCACACUGGUACUGAGACACGGACCAGACUCCUACGGGAGGCAGCAGUGAGGAAUAUUGGUCAAUGGGCGCGAGCCUGAACCAGCCAAGUCGCGUGAGGGAUGGCGGUCCUACGGAUUGUAAACCUCUUUUGCCGGGGAGCAAGCGUGCGUUCGUGAACGCGCGUCGAGAGUACCCGGAGAAAAAGCAUCGGCUAACUCCGUGCCAGCAGCCGCGGUAAUACGGAGGAUGCGAGCGUUAUCCGGAUUUAUUGGGUUUAAAGGGUGCGUAGGCGGGAUGCCAAGUCAGCGGUAAAAAUGCGGUGCUCAACGCCGUCGAGCCGUUGAAACUGGCGUUCUUGAGUGGGCGAGAAGUAUGCGGAAUGCGUGGUGUAGCGGUGAAAUGCAUAGAUAUCACGCAGAACUCCGAUUGCGAAGGCAGCAUACCGGCGCCCUACUGACGCUGAGGCACGAAAGCGUGGGUAUCGAACAGGAUUAGAUACCCUGGUAGUCCACGCAGUAAACGAUGAAUGCUAACUGUCCGGUGCGAGUGAGCGCUGG
This 628-nucleotide ribosomal RNA is filed under the name uncultured bacterium. RNAcentral describes it as "bacterial SSU rRNA". It matches the Rfam family "Bacterial small subunit ribosomal RNA", at positions 218 to 842 of the family's 1533-position model. The record is from RNAcentral.